AGUGUAGGCGGUUUAGCAAGUCGGAUGUGAAAUCCCAGGGCCCAACCCUGGAACUGCAUCCGAUACUGUUAGGCUAGAGUCCCGGAGAGGAUGGCGGAAUUCCCGGUGUAGGGGUGAAAUCCGUAGAUAUCGGGAGGAACACCAGUGGCGAAGGCGGCCAUCUGGACGGUGACUGACGCUGAGACUCGAAAGCGUGGGUAGCAAACAGGAUUAGAUACCCUGGUGGUCC
RNAcentral lists this ribosomal RNA (229 nucleotides) under uncultured bacterium. RNAcentral describes it as "partial 16S ribosomal RNA". It matches the Rfam family "Bacterial small subunit ribosomal RNA", at positions 568 to 796 of the family's 1533-position model. The record is from RNAcentral.